GAGGCGAACCGGGGGAACUGAAACAUCUAAGUACCCCGAGGAAAAGAAAUCAACCGAGAUUCCGAAAGUAGCGGCGAGCGAAAUUGGACUAGCCCUUAAGCUUUACACGCGUUAGACGAACGGUCUGGAAAGUCCGACGAUACAGGGUGAUAGUCCCGUAGUUGACGACGUGUGUUCAGUGAAAUCGAGUAGGGCGGGACACGUGAUAUCCUGUCUGAAUAUGGGGGGACCAUCCUCCAAGGCUAAAUACUACUGACUGACCGAUAGUGAACUUUGUCCUGUGACUGCGUACCUUUUGUAUAAUGGGUCAGCGACUUAUAUUCAGUGGCAAGGUUAACCAUCUAGGGGAGCCGUAGGGAAACCGAGUCUUAACUGGGCGUUCAGUCUCUGGAUAUAGACCCGAAACCAGGUGAUCUAGCCAUGGGCAGGUUGAAGGUUGAGUAACAUCAACUGGAGGACCGAACCGACUAAUGUUGAAAAAUUAGCGGAUGACUUGUGGCUAGGGGUGAAAGGCCAAUCAAACCUGGAGAUAGCUGGUUCUCCCCGAAAGCUAUUUAGGUAGCGCCUCGGACGAAUACUACUGGGGGUAGAGCACUGUUAAGGCUAGGGGGUCAUCCCGACUUACCAACCCUU
This 633-nucleotide ribosomal RNA is filed under the name Vibrio parahaemolyticus. Its description in RNAcentral is "partial 23S ribosomal RNA". It matches the Rfam family "Bacterial large subunit ribosomal RNA", at positions 176 to 947 of the family's 2925-position model. Lineage: Bacteria; Pseudomonadati; Pseudomonadota; Gammaproteobacteria; Vibrionales; Vibrionaceae. The record is from RNAcentral.